UCUUCCACUUGAAGCCUGUUUCUGCAGAGUACACCUAAAAUAAUAAUAAUAAUAACAAUAUAUUUUGUGAUGCAUAACAAAAUACCCCAAUUUGAUUUUUAAUUAACUUGGAACUCCGUUCAUUUUUCAUUCUGCAAGAACCUAAACGUGGCAUCACUUCUGCAUGAUCUGUAUGCAACCUAAGAUAUCAUAUUUUUAAAUAGAAAUACUACAAAAUAAAAGCUUUUAGCUCUAAAAUGGAAAAUUUGCUGCAAAUUUGAAUAGGUACAGACACAUACACUGUAAUUUUGCAAACAGAAAAGUAAAAAAAAAAUAGUUAAAUCUACAAAAUCUUAAGAAAGUCUGUCAUGCAAAAAAAUUAAUCAUAUUUUAAUCAACUUAAAUUAAGAAAUCAUGUUUUACGAACUGGAAAUUGUUCCUUUUUGUUGUUUAUUUUUAAAGAAAACCUUGCACUAGGGGCCUGUUUUUGCACAGAAUAGCUAUAAUAAAGUUUGCACAUUUUGUGCAUGCAUGCAGAUUUUGUGAUGCACAACAAAAUACCCCAAUUUGCUUUUUAAUUAACUUGCAACUCCUUUCAUUUUGCAUUUUGAAAGAGCCUACAAGUGGAAUAAAUUUAAGCAGCAAAAUGCAAAACCUAAAAUAGUAGAUUUCUAUAAAAACCACCAAAAUAAAAAAAAGCUUUUUUCAAAUUUGAAACAAAAAAUGAAAAUAGACACUCAUGCCCUCCAGCACGCACACAACUCCCACCAUGUGACCCCUAAUCACAACCUCAGAGCUUGGACAUCAAAUGAAGUAAGUAAAAAAAAAUCAUCAGGAGUAAUUAACGCAUUUUCAUAUGCAAAUGUGAUUAAUGCAAAACUACAAAGUCAUUAUGCAAAUCGACUUUUCCUUGAGCCUCAGUGCAAAUAUUCGCCGCUCAAAUCAGGGAUCAGUCUCGCCAUCUUUUUCUCUUUUUUUUUUAUCUUCUCCCUUUCGCUCUCUUGGAGGAGAGAUAAUGCGUAAGUAGCAUGUGAAGUUAUUUCUAACUCACGCAGAGUGUGUGUGUGUGUGUGUUUUCAUGCGAUGGGCCGGGGAGAUGGCACGACGCCGCCUGCCUACUGAUUACUGGCUGCUUGGCACCGGAGCGAGACGGGGAAGCCGGCGAACAGAGGAAGCUUGUACGCACGCCGAGGGCCAACCAGCGUGGACACGGGAAAGGUUUUAAGUCCAGAGAGGAAUCUCCUGAGUGACAAAGUGGAGGAGGGCAGCUCGUGCACAUGACUGGACAAAGUACUGCUUUGAUUCUGGGUCACAUCCCUCAUUACAUCUCCCUCAAGUACCCCAAACCGGUCUAAUAUGUGAAAGAAAAGUGCCCAAAAUACAACUUUUAAGAACAUUCUGGGGAUUGUUUCAUUUAUUCAUUUUUUUCUAGCCAAGAAUGAAAGAAUUAUAAAGGCUUUUGAUGUGAUUAACCGCAAAGUGACAGGACUGACAUAAACAAUGAAAGGUCCACUCCAGGAGAGCCGAUAUGAAUAUUGC
Molecule: long non-coding RNA, 1518 nt
Organism: Oryzias melastigma (Indian medaka)
Lineage: Eukaryota; Metazoa; Chordata; Actinopteri; Beloniformes; Adrianichthyidae
Exons: 3
Source: RefSeq, a predicted model, not a curated record